UAUUUGGAUUUUUAAAACUUGGAAUUCCUGAAAAUGCUAAGAAAAAACUUUUAGUAUUAAAGGCUGUGAAAUGUAUAGAAAAGACUCUUGUUCAGCAUCAGCAGUUGAAAGAAAAGAAAUUACUGUUAACACAAAAACAGUCAGGUGACAAAAAUGGAGAUUCUCAGUCAGCAAUAUCUGAUCAAAAUAGAGAUAAAGGAAAUGAAACUAUUGAAAUAAAGGAAUUUUCUCCUAAAAUAUAUUGUCAGCUUGGUCAUUAUAAUUUACUUUUAGAAGAAUAUGCAAAAGCUUUGUCUGCAUACCAGAAAUAUCGUGCAUUAGUAGAAGACCAUUGGAAGGAUGCACCAUUCCUGUAUGGAUUAGGACUGACAUACUUCCAUUUCAAUGCAUAUCAAUGG
This is a long non-coding RNA of Centruroides sculpturatus (bark scorpion), 398 nucleotides long. RefSeq lists it as uncharacterized. The record is from RefSeq and is a predicted model, not a curated record. Lineage: Eukaryota; Metazoa; Arthropoda; Arachnida; Scorpiones; Buthidae. The transcript has 4 exons.